UUCCUAACGAGCUGGGUGAUAGCUGGUUGCCUGUAAAACGAAUUUAAGUUCCCCCUCAGCCCCCUCCCUAAGACAAACCACCAAAUCCCCAUGCAGUGGGCUAAGAGCCAUUUAAAGGGGGUACAGCCCCUUUAAAAAAGGACACAACCUCCACUAGCGGAUAACCUCGCCUCACCCUAACCCUGUGGGCCUUAAAGCAGCCACCCCCAAAGAACGCGUCAAAGCUCCAUAAACCAAAAAUUCUAAAACUGUGUAAAUCCCUAACCCACAACAGGCCAACCUACAACUGUAGGUGAACCAAUGCUAAAACGAGUAACCAGGACACUAAGUCCCCUAAAGCGCCAACCUAUACACCAUUAACAGCACAACCACAAUACCAAGUCCCCGACCAAACAUUGAACUCACCCUGUUAGACCAACCCAGGAGCGCACAUUAGGACGAUUAAAACCCGCAAAAGGAACUCGGCAAACCCAAGACCCGACUGUUUACCAAAAACAUAGCCUUCAGCCAAACAAGUAUUGAAGGUGACGCCUGCCCAGUGACACCAUGUUUAACGGCCGCGGUAUCCUAACCGUGCGAA
Molecule: ribosomal RNA, 580 nt
Filed under: Alipiopsitta sp.
Lineage: Eukaryota; Metazoa; Chordata; Aves; Psittaciformes; Psittacidae
Description: partial 16S ribosomal RNA
Rfam family: Bacterial large subunit ribosomal RNA
Source: RNAcentral